UACGGAAGGCAGCAGUGGGGAAUAUUGCACAAUGGGCGCAAGCCUGAUGCAGCCAUGCCGCGUGUAUGAAGAAGGCCUUCGGGUUGUAAAGUACUUUCAGCGGGGAGGAAGGCGAUGCGGUUAAUAACCGCGUCGAUUGACGUUACCCGCAGAAGAAGCACCGGCUAACUCCGUGCCAGCAGCCGCGGUAAUACGGAGGGUGCAAGCGUUAAUCGGAAUUACUGGGCGUAAAGCGCACGCAGGCGGUCUGUUAAGUCAGAUGUGAAAUCCCCCGGGCUUAACCUGGGAACUGCAUUUUGAAACUGGCAGGCUUGAGUCUUGUAGAGGGGGUAGAAUUCCAGGUGUAGCGGUGAAAUGCGUAGAGAUCUGGAGGAAUACCGGUGGCGAAGGCGGCCCCUGGGACAAAGACUGACGCUCAGGGUGCGAAAGCGUGGGGAGCAAACAGGGAUUAGAUACC
This 457-nucleotide ribosomal RNA is filed under the name uncultured bacterium. RNAcentral's name for it is "bacterial SSU rRNA". It matches the Rfam family "Bacterial small subunit ribosomal RNA", at positions 340 to 786 of the family's 1533-position model. The record is from RNAcentral.